This is a long non-coding RNA of Pecten maximus, 750 nucleotides long. RefSeq lists it as uncharacterized. The transcript has 2 exons. NCBI's taxonomy places the organism in Eukaryota, Metazoa, Mollusca, Bivalvia, Pectinida, Pectinidae. The record is from RefSeq and is a predicted model, not a curated record.
ACUACAAGCUACACCUGUUGGCUGGACUAUAUGUGUUACGUCGUAUGUAUAUUCAUGUCAUAUAUGUUCGUGCGGUGUUGUCUUUGUUCUAUACGGGCCACCGUACUACGAGGUGAGACCAGGUAGGUGCGUGAAAAUGUCGGCCGUGUGUUUUCUCGGACCGGUACGCACGAGGUGUGUUCCCCGAGUUUUACUGUGGUAGUAGUGGGACACUAAUUAUUCAGGCACAGAUAACAGACUGUGCUCCCAAUACCGGUCACAACAACGACAUGUGAGAGACCUCUGUCAGGGCCUAUCAUAGAGCAAGGGAAUACCAGCGCCUGGACCUUCAGACAGGAAGGUCAACUAGAUUACCCAAAGCUUCGGGAUAGGUCAUGAGGCGACCUUGGUGGUAACGUUGAUUGAGCCGUGUGACACAAUCUUGUGAAUUGGUUGUGAGGGUCUGUUGUACCCAUCUCUACGGUGUCAGGAGUUGUGCUGAGGCACACUUUUAUUUGUGUAACUUGAAGUUAUUGUGUGGUGAUCCUGUGUGGACACUAUUUCCGGUGGUCCAACUGCUGUCGGGAACCUUUAGUAUGAAGAGAAUGCAGCUGACGUUGUACCCAGCUAGGCGGGUGACCGUUUUGGAGGUUGUGAACCAAUAUUAUGAUUGGUAGAGCAGACUUUAGUGACUUUAAUACAAUUAUGGUGUGAAACUUGGUUGAGAGUGCGUGUGAUUGUUUACAUGUUGUAAAUAAAUUGUUAACUGUU